AACAAUAAAAGAUAGAUAAAAUUGGCCGCUGGAAGCAACACAACAAAAGCGGCGUUUUCGCUGCUUCACUGCCGGUGCAUCCUCUUAGCAAAUAUUUGUGCCGAAGUACGCGUCAAACGGCUUUUCAAGAGCACACACUUAUUUGUAUAAUUGAUAUAUUCGCCCCAAGGUGAAUAGUCCAAUUAUUUUCAGCACUCUCGCGCGUGAAACGUCAUUUCCCAUUCUUGAGAGCGAUACAAGAAGUGCUGGUGACCCUUAUUACGAUAUAAGAGAAGAUGAUUGACAACCUUCAACGUCAUCAAUCUAAUCACACUCUGUUUUCUGCAGUUUUAAUAUUUUAUGGACGGAGCCGCUCACAACAACGCACCUGAAGCUGAUGCAGAAGGUCAACAACGUCAGAAAGACGUUCGCCCUUUAGUUUAGCAUGUUUGCUUGCCAAUGACGGUUUUGUAUAAAAUUAAUUUGUUAUAAAUAUUAAUGAAGCUUGAAAAACUUAUAUUCUAGUCCUUAAUUUUUUUCCUAAAGCUCUACGAAAUUUUAAAUUUCAAUCAGCGUCAACUUAACUCCCCCUGAUUCUGAUAAAAUUUGUUUGAAAUUAUUAAAAAAUUUAAACCCAAUUCCAUUUAAUUUUCUAUUUAAUUCUAAUUCCCAUCAAAAAAGAAAAACCUUCCUCAUUAACAGUUUCUCACUUAAUCAAUACACCGAAAAUGUAGUUUAUUUAGAGCAUUUUUAAUUAAGAAUUAAAAAAUAGGGUCUGUUCAGUUUUGCAUGAUCUACUAGGGACCGCAUGAUUGAUGAGAUGUGACCAUUAAAUAUAGAUUUUUUUAAUGGUUAAGAAUGGGGAAUUAUUGCAAAAGCUUUAAAUAAAAAAAUCAUGAUUUCAUAUCAACCUGAAAUUCUUUGUUAAUGAUUAGUUUUAACAGUCAAGUAUAGUGUUAAUGUGUGUUGUCGCCAAACGAUUUACACUUUCUUUUUGAUAUCAUUAUAAUACAUAACAAAUUUUUAAAGAAUUAACCAUAUUUUUAUCCAUUCUAGAGAGACAACAAUCACAAGGAAAAAUGAGAGAAAUAUCUCAUUUUGCCAUUGUUGUUUAAAUUAAACUUAUUUUCUGAUUCAAUUUGGAUGCGAAAAUUUUCAAAUGACCUGGGUCUAUUUAUGGAGCACCUCUCCUGUUCUUUUCUGGUUGGUUUUGUAAACAAAAAUGCAGGAGCUGCUGGAAUCUAGAAGCCCGAUAUUUAGCCCGAGCCUCUUUGUGUUUCGCGUCUGGAAUCCAGCUGGGUCUGGCGACACCGAUUUCUUCUUUCCGUCCCAUUACCCCGCUCCUGAAGGGCGAGGAGAGUUCCUCCGAAUCGGAUCUGGCGACGCUCCUCGCUACCCUGACUGGGUCUACCGACACGUGGUUCUGCCUCGGCUGCUCUUCGAGGAGCACCAACGCAUCGCAGCUCGGGCCGAUGCACAAUUUAGUUCGUCAGCAGCGAAUCAGGUUCCGUUUGAGACCCACCUGGACACUCGACGAUUCGACCAGCCAUACGACUUUGAAUGGUGGCUGGACAGUGAGGCCGAGGAGGAAUUGGAAGCAGAGGAAGCGGGAGGCGAGCAGAUAACUGCAAGAAAGCCGAAAUGGAAAAGCCGUUUGCAAAGGUUGUUACGUGCCCUCCACACGAAUCGUUCUGGCUCUUAAAUUUUAGCUAAUUUCUGUCAAAUUUCAAAAGGAGCACUGGAAUAAAUUACUGAGUUGAUUUUGUUAA
Long non-coding RNA from Cloeon dipterum, 1748 nucleotides. RefSeq lists it as uncharacterized. NCBI's taxonomy places the organism in Eukaryota, Metazoa, Arthropoda, Insecta, Ephemeroptera, Baetidae. The transcript is spliced from 4 exons. The record is from RefSeq and is a predicted model, not a curated record.